CCUACGGGAGGCAGCAGUGAGGGAUAUUGCACAAUGGGGGGAACCCUGAUGCAGCGACGCCGCGUGGGCGAUGAAGUGCUUCGGCAUGUAAAGCCCUUUCAGCAGGGAAGAAAAUGACGGUACCUGACUAAGAAGCCCCGGAUAAUUCCGUGCCAGCAACCGCGGUAAUACGGAGGGGGCCACCGUUAUCCGGAUUUACUGGGGGUAAAGGGAGCGUAGGCGGCCUGGCAAGCCUGAGGUGAAAUGCCGGGGCUCAACCCCGGGGCUGCAUUUGAAACUGCCAGGCUGGAGUGUCGGAGAGGGAGGCGGAAUGCCUGGUGUAGCGGUGAAAUGCGUAGAGAUUAGGAGGAACACCAGUGGCGAAGGCGGCCUGCUGGACGGUGACUGACGCUGAGGCUCGAAAGCGUGGGGAGCAAACAGGAUUAGAUACCCGUGUAGUC
Molecule: ribosomal RNA, 440 nt
Filed under: uncultured bacterium
Lineage: Bacteria
Description: partial 16S ribosomal RNA
Rfam family: Bacterial small subunit ribosomal RNA
Source: RNAcentral